CAGCCGCCGCGGGAAUACGAAGGGGGCUAGCGUUGCUCGGAGUUACUGGGCGUAAAGGGCGCGUAGGCGGAUGUUUAAGUCAGAGGUGAAAGCCCAGGGCUCAACCUUGGAACUGCCUUUGAUACUGGACAUCUUGAGUGUGGGAGAGGUGAGUGGAACUCCGAGUGUAGAGGUGAAAUUCGUAGAUAUUCGGAAGAACACCAGUGGCGAAGGCGGCUCACUGGACGACUGUUGACGCUGAGGUGCGAAAGCGUGGGGAGCAAACAGGAUUAGAUACCCGAGUAGUCCCUGUCUCUUAUAC
This 301-nucleotide ribosomal RNA is filed under the name uncultured bacterium. Its description in RNAcentral is "partial 16S ribosomal RNA". It matches the Rfam family "Bacterial small subunit ribosomal RNA", at positions 509 to 807 of the family's 1533-position model. The record is from RNAcentral.